CAUGCUGAAGAGGAACAGCACACACAUAUGAAUAAAGAAGACUGUAAAUCUGUCAAAACCCUUCACACAGUCAACACCUGGGCUGAAAAUCAAUUAGACUGCACAGAUUGCUGGAAAUAAUGUGUAAGAAUGAUUGAUCUCUCCAUCGGUGAUAAGAAGCUCUUCUCCAUCAUGCGCCUGCUGCCACCUCCGUCCCACUUUCCCUGAGCUAUCAUAGCAGGCCUGUCUGAGAGGCCCGUGAUAACGACAGGCCUGGGACACAAAGUGCUCCAUUACCACCACCAUACUGAAUGGCUUCAUCUGCUGUUGCAAUAUGUUUUGAAAGAAUAAGAAGCCUACGAACACAAACAUCACCAAUGUUAAGGUGCAACAUCCUUAAAUGGCUCAUUCAGAGGAGAUCAGUAUUCAAAGCUCAGAACUUUGACACUGGAGACCAGAGUUCAUGUAUCCUUCAUAUUGUGUUUUGCACCAAAACACGUGGGUAAGGUUCCAGGAAGAGGAUGUGUUUAGUUAAACAUCGAAAAAGUCAAUGAGUCCUGUUUCGUUUCGUUUUCAAAGCUUCAGAGGAUGUUUAAAUCACAUGCUUUAUGUACAUCAUGACUUAUGUGCUAUUUCUGUUUUCAUUGCAUUUUGUUGCAAUUUGCUUUUGUCCAUACAGCACCACUUCAGCCAAGUGUCAAAACUUUUUUUUCCAAAAAAUUUCCACUCAUGUUUUUUUAUGUAAAAGAAAAGAAAAGAGGUGGAUGGAAUCACACCUAUUGACAGUGAACAUUCUGCAGAUACGGUCAGGAUGAACAUUUUAUGCUGUCAGUGUAAAUUCCUCCAUAUCAUGUUCAUAAAUGUAGUCUUUAUAUUUCCCACAAAUCCUUUUCUUUAAUGCAUAUGCAUGUAUAUUAACUUAAUUUUAGAAGAAAGGAUUAGAAUACAAAAACAGUGUUAAAUUAGCUCAGGUCUCAAUGCACAUCAGAUGUUUAGAUGUUGUCAGUGUACCUACAUGCAAAACUUUAACUUUCUAUACUUUGUAAAUAAACAUUGAUGUUUAGAGAUCUAGUGGGGUAAGAGGUGAACUUCUUUAUUGCACAGAAGCGAACCUGCUGAGAUGGUCAAGUUGUACAUUUCAUGACACUCUCAGUCCUUUACAGCUAUCAUUUCCCAGAUGAUGAGGACCUCUAAUAUGGCUUCUGGAUGUCCUGCAACAACUAUUUUAUCCUUAAAAUUAUCCUCCUUUUACAUCAUUUGCAUCAGAUUGAUACUUGCAACAAUGCAUAGACUAAAUUCAAUAUGUGGGGAAAAAAUAGACUAAACUUAGAUUCACGCUCCACUACAUCCCCAGUGCAGCCUACUCUAUUUCUGCAUAUACAAUACAUGGAACUUAAGAGUGUUAUUGUAUGUGUAUUUGUCAGUUGUGUGUGUGUGUGUGUGUGUGUAACCCAGGUGCUGUCAGAGUGAGUCUUGCCCCUGACAGAGACGGGUCACCAUGAAGCCUGUAAUUCAUGUGCAGUGAUGUGAUCUCUGAGAGACAGGGGGGAGAUGAGUAAUUAGACCCUGUCCUCAUGCUUGAUUACAGUCUUGUUUCGACAUAAACCAUAUCUACCCAGGGAGGCUACAUUACCAUUUCCCUAGCGCCGCCUGGUUAUGUUAGCAAAGCACUCGAAGCUGCAGUUCUUUUUUUUCCCCUCCCUGCACUCUUUUGACAGCUAAAAUACUCUAAAGAUAUUUCAUGUGUGCACCUAUUCAC
This is a long non-coding RNA of Thunnus maccoyii (southern bluefin tuna), 1738 nucleotides long. RefSeq lists it as uncharacterized. The record is from RefSeq and is a predicted model, not a curated record. Lineage: Eukaryota; Metazoa; Chordata; Actinopteri; Scombriformes; Scombridae. The transcript has 4 exons.